RNAcentral lists this ribosomal RNA (254 nucleotides) under uncultured bacterium. RNAcentral describes it as "partial 16S ribosomal RNA". It matches the Rfam family "Bacterial small subunit ribosomal RNA", at positions 524 to 776 of the family's 1533-position model. The record is from RNAcentral.
UACGUAGGGGUCUAGCGUUGUCCGGAAUCAUUGGGCGUAAAGCGCUCGUAGGCGGUUCGGCAAGUCGGAUGUGAAAUCUCCACGCUCAACGUGGAGGGGCCAUUCGAAACUGCCGUGACUCGAGUCCGGUAGGGGAGUGCGGAAUUCCCGGUGUAGCGGUGAAAUGCGCAGAUAUCGGGAGGAACACCAGUGGCGAAGGCGGCACUCUGGGCCGGAACUGACGCUGAGGAGCGAAAGCGUGGGGAGCGAACAGG